UCCGGUUUGAAUGCGUGGGAAGACGAU
This 27-nucleotide non-coding RNA is filed under the name Bombyx mori (domestic silkworm). Lineage: Eukaryota; Metazoa; Arthropoda; Insecta; Lepidoptera; Bombycidae. The record is from RNAcentral.